This 72-nucleotide transfer RNA is filed under the name Planctomycetaceae bacterium. RNAcentral describes it as "tRNA-Lys". It matches the Rfam family "tRNA". From Rfam's summary of the family: Transfer RNA (tRNA) molecules are approximately 80 nucleotides in length. The record is from RNAcentral. Lineage: Bacteria; Pseudomonadati; Planctomycetota; Planctomycetia; Planctomycetales; Planctomycetaceae.
GGGGCCGUGGUGUAACGGCAGCACUGCGGAUUUUUAAUCCGCCCGGAGAAGGUUCGAAUCCUUCCGACCCCA